Bombus huntii is the source of this 6031-nucleotide long non-coding RNA. RefSeq lists it as uncharacterized. The transcript is spliced from 2 exons. NCBI's taxonomy places the organism in Eukaryota, Metazoa, Arthropoda, Insecta, Hymenoptera, Apidae. The record is from RefSeq and is a predicted model, not a curated record.
ACAAAAGCACACUUUUAUUUCUUAGCAUCUUUUUUCUUUUAUUUCUUAAACUUGGUAUUUUUUUCAUAGCAAUUUUUCAAUAAACUUUCUCCGUUCUCUUAAAAAAAAAAAAAAAAAUUGUAAUAUCUUUCUGAAACACAAAUUCCUUGAUGAAGUUUCGCUCUUCGGUUUUUAAAAUAUAAUAUAUAUAUAAAUUAUAUAUAAAUAUAUAUAAUUCUCUAUAUAAUAUCUAGAGAAUGUAAAUUCUCUAUUAAAAUUUGCUUUUUUCCUUACACUUUUUAAGUUUGAUAACUUUUUAAAGAUAUAAAUUUUCGAAUGUGAAAAAGUUUUUUUUUCUUUUUUCCUAAGGUUUUAACAUCGCGUCAACUGCACGUGCGUUAUUAAAUGACGACGACGAUGUAGACACCGAGGACUGGCAAUACCACGGGCAUUAAAUUUCGUUACACAACACCGUGCCUUUCAGAAAGAAGAAAAUUUCUAAUAUUUCUGCCUGAAACCGAGAUUUGCUUCGUUCAUUGUUCCUUUAACGCGGAAUUAAAAAUUGUUUAUAAUCUUCUUAGUUUCUUAGAUACUUGAAAGUUUACUCGAGCAUUGUCGAGCUCUUGAAACUUACAAAACUGCGAAACUCUGAUCUACGUUCCAUUCAGGUCAGCCACGGAGCCGACAAUACGAAUUUAAGAAUGCAACAUAAAAUAUACCUAAAAUAAGGAUCAAGUAACCUAAACAAUUCAUAAAUCUAUCCUAAACUGUCAGCUGUUGAAAAAUCUCUCUCUCUCUCUCUCUCUCUCUCUUUCUGAAAACUUCCUUCAAAAUCUGAACGCAAUGUGACAUUCAAUUUCUAACAUCAAAAAACGGUCGACUAGAUCCGUGAAACUUUUUGAAUUUCUGCACGAAACGUAAGGUUUUGCAGGGAUGCAGUUAGGAAAUUUCGUUCGUGACGGAUGAUGGAAAAAAGAGAGGGACAGAGACGGAUCACGAGCAGGGAAGGAAAAGAGGAAAAGGGGUGCAAAGAAGGAUGGAGAAUCUCGCGUGCUUUUUCCGUGAUCCCAUUGUUUUCGCUUCGGAAAACUUUUUCCUACACUUUUGUUUGUAAAUGAAGGAUGGCCUGGCCGCAGGGUUUACCCACUUUUCUCCUAGAGCCACGGAACAAUAUAACGUCGAAUGUCCGCUUUCCCCUUUCUACACUGCAUGGUAAUAGUUGUUGUAAAUCACUGCUGAAUUAAUUCUCGCCCUUUCUUUUUUCCCUCUCUCGCUUUCUCCUCCCUUUCGCGACGUUAACACGAGUUACGAUUGUCCCUCCCUUUUCGUUGUUUGGAAAUGGCACAUGUUUGUUCAAACGUGGAACACAAACGUGAGAAAUAUCGCGCAAACCUUUGGGUUUUAAUUCUUCUGGUUUUUGGUCUUCGACUGUGCUCUUCUCCCAACUCUGUGAUUUAUAAAAACUGCGUAAACACAUACAGAGCAACUUUUUCACGGUUGACCAUUUGAGAAGGUGUUAAUUAAUUAGGCGUGUAAUUGCUAUUACUUACAUCUCCUUAACUGUACCUUCUGCAACGUUAAAGUUCUCACAACGUUACUUUCCUACAACGUAAAUCUCUCACCAAUGCCCGACAGCUCAAAAAUUUACCACCACUUUUGCGAUUAUCUCUUUCGAUAACCCCUCCCAAAUCCUAAUCAUUCUCAACGUUUACCGCGCCGUACGUUAACCUCUGCUCAUAUUUACCACCAGCGACGUUUGGCUCCUCGACCGUUAACUGGUUUCAAUUUUUAUCAGCCUCGACGUUUACCUGUACUAAAUCUUAAGCAUUCUCAACGUAUACCUCACCCUGCGUUAACUUGCGUUAACUGAGUUUACCAUAAACCUACAUUUACCUUCUGCAACGUUAACAUUUUCUAAUGUUUAUCAUUCUUAACAUCUACCUCUUCCAAACCUGCAUUUCCAGCGUUUAUCAGCAUCCUACGUUAACCUCGCCCAAUAUUUACCACUGCCAACGUUUACCGUAACCUGCAUUUACCUCCUGCAACGUUAACAUUUUCUAAUGUUUAUCAUUCUCAACGUCUACCUCUUCCAAAACUGCAUUUCCAGCGUUUAUCAGCAUCCUACGCUAAUCUCGCCCAAUAUUUACCACUGCCAACGUUUACCGUAACCUGCAUUUACCUCCAGCAACGUUAACAUCGCCUAGUGUUUAUUACUCUCAACAUUUGUUUCUUCCAAACCUGCAAACCUUAACCAUUUCCAGCGUUUACCAGCAUCCUACGUUAACCUCGCCCAAUAUUUACCACUGCCAACGUUUACCGUAAACCUACAUUUACCUCCUGCAACGUUAAUUUCUCCUAAUUUUUUAUCACUGUCAACAUUUACCUCUUGCAAACCUUGACCAUCGCCAACGUUCAUCAUAUGCCUACGUUUACUAGCAACACCCCACAUUUAUCUCCUGCAACGUUAACGUCCCCCAAUGUUCAUCACUCGCAACGUUUAUCUCUCUCAAACCUUAACCACCCCCAACGUUCAUCACUACCCUCCGUUUAUCUCGUCCAGCGUUAACCAUCCCCCAACAUUUACCAUUCCCAACGUUAACUUGGUCUCCGACCUUAAAUUCCCUUCAACGCACAGUGUGACACUUGCUUUGAAAAGCUUGACGAAACUAUCUUAACGUUUGCUGGAUCUUCAAAUGCCCGUACCGUUGCUAAAAUUCAUGCAAGAUCGAUGAGACAAAAAUCAUUUUGGAAAUUGAACUCUCUGCUUCUCGACCCUUCCAGGCGAUCUUAUCCAAGUGAAAUCCGCCCUAUACCAAACUGUAAAAAAUCAUAUAAGAUAAAUCGAUCGAUCAAGAGUGUUUCGUUACUAAAUAUAGUAAUAUAUGGUAGACAUAAAAAGUAGAUAUACUAAAUAUGAGAAGAUCGCGCAAAGUGGAGUUAACUACUUUCGCCUGUGGACGUUUCAAAUGGCGAUUAAUUUCACUCGCAAUCAAGUAAUCGUCGAGCCGUCUUGAAUCAGUCGGUCGAUCGUUUUAAAAUGACCAAAGAAUGAUGCGUUAAUCUAAAAAAAGAACAGCUGGUAGGGAUUACAGAGCGCAGUUGGCGAAUCACGUGGUUUGAAGCGUUUAACGCGAUUCGAUCGAAGAGAUUCGCGGGUGGAAUUCACGUGUCGAGGCUGUAAGCUUUGAAAGUUUCGUCGGCUGGUUGUUUAACUAGCGCACUGCGCCUGCCUGAUGCACGCAAUGCGCCAUUUGUCUUAAAAACUAGACAAACUCGCCGGAUUGCAGCAUUAGGGGCUCGUCGUAAUGAGAAUUGGAACGCGUUUCAUACGCUGUCUCAGAAACGAGAAUUUUUUUCGCUGAACGAAUUUCUCGCGCAACUCGUGAAUUAUAGUCGCUGCUAUAAGGUAGCUUUGGAUUCGCUCAGCUUAGGAUCAGACUUUUAUUAAUUUACAUUGCGAUCAGAUAAAGUUGGGAUAAUUUUCCAUCGAGUCAGGUUAAAUAUUAGGCUUACAUUAAUUUCGACUAAGAAUAGGUUAAGUUGAAAGUAGUUUUAGCUUAGCUCUGAACCGACUUAGGUUAGCUUUGGAUCGGACGCCUUAAAUUAAUUUGGAUUAAGGCUCGAUUAGAUUUCGAUCAGGCGUGGAUUAAUCUGUAUUAAAACUGGAUUAAGUUUAGAUCGAAUACUAAUUAAUUCUUAAUUAGUUUUAGAAUGGGAUUGGAUAGGCUUAGGUUAGGUUUGAAUCAGGCUUGAGAUCAACUUUGCAUCAGACAUCGAAUACUUUUUAAAUUAGUUUCACGUUAGAUUUGAGCGGAGCUUAAGCCAGGCUUGGACCAAUUUCCAUUAACUUUUUCUUCCUAGUAGAUAAAACUAUAAACGGUUAUAUUUCAGUGCAAAACGGUCAUAGGAUAAAGUCGAUAGUAACGAUAGCAGUUACCAAAGAUGCCAAAAUGUAACCGGAAUUAAAUGGAGACCGUAGGAGCUUUUCAAAGCAAACGGAACCGCAGAAAGAAUCCAAAACAGACGAUGCUAUGAAAGCCAACCGAAGUAAAUGAAAAUGGAGCAAAAGGAAGGUCAAAGAUAAGGCGGAGGAAUCGAGGACAAAUCUGGAGGGAUAUUGGAUAGAAUGUAGGGGAAAUCGUAAAGAGAAGGAAUUAAGGAAAAUACACGCUUCGGGGUGAAAAAAGAACUCGUAAAAGACUAAACGGCAGCGAGAGAAGGGAGUCAAGGAGAUAGGAGAACAAAGGCAGAGAAGAGAGACAAAGAAGCCGGGAAAAAGGGAAAUAAAGAGAGAAAAAGUGAGUCGGCCACGAGUGCACGAGCUGUGGAAAACGAGGUGAGCGCGAGGAUUGGCCAACGAUGCCAUCAUGGCGACUGUACGCGUCCAAUCACAGGCCACGAAUUUCUUUCUACCAAUCCGUCAUUGAUUUUAGGUUUAUGAAUGGGACACGCUUACGCUACCCGCGUUUCUUUCAAGAUAUGUACAUACUACGAGAUUUGCCAGCAACAUCUCGGCUUCCACAAAAUCUUACGUCACACGUUCCAUCGAUUCUCACGUUCUACUCAACAGACACUGCAAAGUGUACAAUGUAGCAAACUAUAGUAUUGUAGCAAGCUACGUGUAAAAGGAACAAAUUCUUUUAUCGAAGAAUAAUUAAAGCGCAAGAAGGAAUGGCACAAGAUUUACGAUGCAACGAGAAGAAACAUUUGCUCUCACAUUGGUAUAAUCUAGCAAAGUAUCAUUCAGAUCUCUAGAAAAAUGGAAUUAAACCAGUUUUGUAAUGUACAUUUGUAAACUACAGUCUACUAAUUUGAAGUUUUCUUAAGCAAUAAAAAUCGUGCUAGAUACGUUCAAGGAGUUACUUCCGCAAAAGUCCCUAGCAGGCUAUCUCUUGGUCGAGACAAAAGUGAGGUUAGAAUAUAGAAAUCGAAGGGGGCUAAACGAUAGACCGAUAAAAGCAAACGAGCAGUGAAAACAGUAAAUAAUAACUUCGUCGGAUACAUUUCAACAGACUCGCAAUCAAGCAAAGGCCGUCCAAUUAAAAAACGCGCCGUACGACUUCCCCCGAUAGAAUAGCCAACAAAUUCAUCGAUGUUCGUUUUUAAAAUCCUCCAAGCUAUCCAGACUCUGUACAAGCAACUAACGACGUUCCACGCUUCAGAACGUACGAUACACAUCAUCAAACCGUGGAAUUAGAUAAACAAAAAACGAAAAACAAAAGAGAGAGAAAGAACAAGUUCCGUAAACAUUACCCAUCCGCAUCGGUCAGAAUGGCAGAAAGUUCGGUCGAAUAAAUUCGUCACACAUCGAAGCACCAGCCGUCAUUAAACUAACCCCCCGUACGAUCCAUAAUUUCCCCUCCAACUGCAUUUCACCCCGUGUUUGCACGCUAACGAGCGCUAAUAUAUAUAUAUUUUCACCGGGUAUAACGAGACUCGAGUGCCUAUGAGAAAAUGCAACCGUGUUUCCAGUUAAAUCCGACCCUCCACGAAAACGCCGACGACCCCAGCAGUGGGAUUAAGCGUUUGCUUGGUUACUUCCAGACACUAGAAUCUAGGGGGUUUGGGCGCCAAGUGUCGGCAGUUGCGCCGUUUCCAUCGAAGCAGGGAGCCUCCACGAGGUGAACGAUUUUAUUUGUAAAAGUUGUAAUCUAAGAUGAUACAAGCCGUAGCGUGGUACGCUAAGUUUUCAAAUAUUUGCUUCGAUACAUACAGAGGCGGAUGAGAGAAGAUUUAAAAUUGAUAGACUAUAAACCUCGAUAACCUUCGUAUGGGAUCGGUACGGUAUGAAUUUUAGCAUAACUUUUCUAUUAAAUUGACACACUAUGAAUUUUAUGCCGAAAGUUUGUUAAUACGAUUUCCAGUUUUAAGUUAUAGGUUACAAGUUGAGAUUGUUCGUUUUAAAGGUUAGGCGAAGAGUAUGGGUUAGGUUAACUUGAACGCGAUAGCCAAUCGGCCAUGUAGAGGUUAAGGAAAGUUUGCGAUUAGUGAUAUUGUUUCCAAACACAUAUUUUAUGUAUGGAUUAAGUAAUAAAAUAUUAUUAUUGUUGUU